Molecule: ribosomal RNA, 484 nt
Filed under: uncultured bacterium
Lineage: Bacteria
Description: partial 16S ribosomal RNA
Rfam family: Bacterial small subunit ribosomal RNA
Source: RNAcentral
AUUGAACGCUGGCGGCAGGCCUAACACAUGCAAGUCGAGCGGAUGAAGGGAGCUUGCUCCUGGAUUCAGCGGCGGACGGGUGAGUAAUGCCUAGGAAUCUGCCUGGUAGUGGGGGAUAACGUCCGGAAACGGGCGCUAAUACCGCAUACGUCCUGAGGGAGAAAGUGGGUGAUCUUCGGACCUCACGCUAUCAGAUGAGCCUAGGUCGGAUUAGCUAGUUGGUGGGGUAAAGGCCUACCAAGGCGACGAUCCGUAACUGGUCUGAGAGGAUGAUCAGUCACGCUUGAACUGAGACAAGGUCCAGACUCCUACGGUAGGCAGCAGUGGGGAAUGUUGGACAAUGGGCGAAAGCCUGAUCCAGCCAUGCCGCGUGUGUGAAGAAGGUCUUCGGAUUGUAAAACACUUUAAGUUGGGAGGAAGGGCAGUAAGUUAAUACCUUGCUGUUUUGACGUUACCAACAGAAUAAGCACCGGCUAACUUCGUG